CCUACGGGGCGCGCCAGUGUGGAAUAUUGCACAAUGGGCGCAAGCCUGAUGCAGCCAUGCCGCGUGUAUGAAGAAGGCCUUCGGGUUGUAAAGUACUUUCAGCGGGGAGGAAGGUGUUGUGGUUAAUAACCGCAGCAAUUGACGUUACCCGCAGAAGAAGCACCGGCUAACUCCGUGCCAGCAGCCGCGGUAAUACGGAGGGUGCAAGCGUUAAUCGGAAUUACUGGGCGUAAAGCGCACGCAGGCGGUCUGUCAAGUCGGAUGUGAAAUCCCCGGGCUCAACCUGGGAACUGCAUUCGAAACUGGCAGGCUAGAGUCUUGUAGAGGGGGUUAGAAUUCCCGGUGUAGCGGUGAAAUGCGUAGAGAUCUGGAGGAAUACCGGUGGCGAAGGCGGCCCCCUGGACAAAGACUGACGCUCAGGUGCGAAAGCGUGGGGAGCAAACAGGAUUAGAUACCCGGGUAGUC
Molecule: ribosomal RNA, 465 nt
Filed under: uncultured bacterium
Lineage: Bacteria
Description: bacterial SSU rRNA
Rfam family: Bacterial small subunit ribosomal RNA
Source: RNAcentral